UGGGGAAUAUUGCACAAUGGGCGCAAGCCUGAUGCAGCCAUGCCGCGUGUAUGAAGAAGGCCUUCGGGUUGUAAAGUACUUUCAGUCGGGAGGAAGGUGUCAAGGUUAAUAACCUUGGCAAUUGACGUUACCGACAGAAGAAGCACCGGCUAACUCCGUGCCAGCAGCCGCGGUAAUACGGAGGGUGCAAGCGUUAAUCGGAAUUACUGGGCGUAAAGCGCACGCAGGCGGUUGAUUGAGUCAGAUGUGAAAUCCCCGGGCUUAACCCGGGAAUUGCAUCUGAUACUGGUCAGCUAGAGUCUUGUACAGGGGGGUAGAAUUCCAUGUGUAGCGGUGAAAUGCGUAGAGAUGUGGAGGAAUACCGGUGGCGAAGGCGGCCCCCUGGACAAAGACUGACGCUCAGGUGCGAAAGCGUGGGGAGCAAACAGG
RNAcentral lists this ribosomal RNA (429 nucleotides) under Chloroflexota bacterium. RNAcentral's name for it is "Chloroflexi bacterium partial 16S ribosomal RNA". It matches the Rfam family "Bacterial small subunit ribosomal RNA", at positions 355 to 776 of the family's 1533-position model. The record is from RNAcentral. Lineage: Bacteria; Bacillati; Chloroflexota.